GCCUGCAUAGCUCAGUUGAUAGAGCACAAGUUUUGUAUAUGCGAAAUGUUAUCAAAAGAACUUGGGGUCGGGGGUUUGACUCCCUCUGCAGGCU
Molecule: transfer RNA, 94 nt
Filed under: uncultured archaeon
Lineage: Archaea
Description: tRNA-Thr(tgt)
Rfam family: tRNA
About the family: Transfer RNA (tRNA) molecules are approximately 80 nucleotides in length.
Source: RNAcentral